RNAcentral lists this microRNA precursor (90 nucleotides) under Canis lupus familiaris (dog). RNAcentral's name for it is "mir-8799 microRNA precursor family". It matches the Rfam family "mir-8799 microRNA precursor family". RNAcentral also lists the same sequence under 1 other name. Lineage: Eukaryota; Metazoa; Chordata; Mammalia; Carnivora; Canidae. The record is from Rfam by way of RNAcentral.
GGGGAGCGCAGGUUACUGGGCUGUGUCCCCCAGCGCCCUGGGAUCUGGGGUCUGCGCUGCUGGAAUCGCGCUCCCGGGACCGUGGACCCU